RNAcentral lists this long non-coding RNA (1404 nucleotides) under Capsicum annuum. RNAcentral's name for it is "long non-coding RNA (CANN_LNC005944)". The record is from RNAcentral. Lineage: Eukaryota; Viridiplantae; Streptophyta; Magnoliopsida; Solanales; Solanaceae.
UAGGAUAUAAUAUAUACACUAGGAAGGGGUGCCAAUUUGGAUUUUUCACAGAAAGCAGAACACAUUCAUCAGGACCAAAAUCAUUCUUCUUCAUACUCACCGUGACACCAUGAAAAUUCCCACAAGAACACACCCACAGUGAUAUCCCCUAAUUUCCAUGCCAUAACAUAUACACCAACUGACAUAUACAUGCACACAGAGGUUGAGGACAGAAAAUCAAGUGAAAAGAGAAGAGAGAGGGUUGUGAGAGAAGGAGAGAGCUACGAGAGAGAGAAAGGGGGCUUUCAUGUCAUUGGUCACUGUUUCGAUGACUUAGCUCGCUGGAAUUAGUUUUCCAUUCGUUAUUCGAUCGUUUCACUUUGAAUUCCAAUGAAAUCUCACCGGAAUCGACAUCAAGAUCAUCGUCUAGGUCUGCUCCAUUCUGAAAUUCUCUAAAUCCUCUCGUUCUUCCUAAUUUCUGCACAAAAUUUAGUUGGAAUCUGGUCUAUUCCAGUCGAUUUUUUGUUGGACAAAGUAACCCACCACCGUCGCAUCAAAUUUGUUAAAUCCGGUGGAUCGGGAUCCCGUCUCCAUCAUCAAAACAAAUACCAAAGUCACGAUUCUGCAUUUGUUAUUGUCGAACAGUGAAUAAACAAUCAAAAAUUCAUUGAUCAUUGGUGACCAACAAGUCAUCUCAGUUACGUUGUUCAUACCUGUGUGUCAAGUUUUGGGGAAAAUGGAGUUUGGGUCGAGGUUUGCGAGUUUAGUUCGGAGAUUUUUGGACUCCGACUCGAGGUUUCCGGCGCGGAUUCUGGCUCGCUUAACCGAGUAAUACAUUGAAAUUCAUUAAGGUCCAUUUCUUAUCUCUUCUCAAUUGAGCUUAAUUAUUGAUAUUUGGUGUGGUAAAUUCAUGGCGUGUGAACAUUGUUUCAUGUGAUUUGACUAUAUGUUUGGAUUAUGGAUGGUGGUUGAUGUUAAUUGAUUGAUUUCAUUUGAAUAGAUUAAUUAAAGGAUUUGAAUUCGUUUGGGAUAAAUUUUAACUUGGGGAAGACGGGAAUUGAAAGGCGAUAAAGUGACUAUUGUAGUGUUUUGAUUCAUCGAUUGUUAUUGGAUUUGAAAUGAAUGUUAAUGUUAUCAAACAUGGUAGUAUCGUGAUAAGACCAUCAAAAGAGUAGGCAAAUAGUAGGCUUGGGUAGGCAAAUUUAGAACUUAUGGAUUGUUUGAGUGUUUGAAAUGUUUGUGGAAUGGUUUGUUUUUCUCGUAUAUGGAAAAUGUAUUCAUUUAGGCGGGGAAUGAUCCGAGACACAUUGUAUUUAUUCACCGGAGAAUGCCCCGACGUAUUAUGUUGGCGGAAAAUGUUUGUGAUGAAGGCCCGAGGCAUCGGGUAAGCAUUGGAGCAUAGUUUAGGAUUAGUCUAGAAUAGGA